This is an RNA transcript of Rhododendron vialii, 1996 nucleotides long. RefSeq lists it as uncharacterized. Lineage: Eukaryota; Viridiplantae; Streptophyta; Magnoliopsida; Ericales; Ericaceae. The transcript has 8 exons. The record is from RefSeq and is a predicted model, not a curated record.
AAGACUUCCAUCAGCCCACAAACCGGCGGCCGUCGUUUCGAUCUGCCCAGCACACUUCAUCUCUGCCCUCUUCCUUGCUGGCCGGAACUCGCCAGCACCACCACCACACUCUGUGAUUUCUGGAAAGAUGACAAAUAACAAGAUAAAGUAUACCAAGCCCAGGAAGAUGGCCCAACAAGUGCUUGACUAUGAGAGGAAAAAGCGUGAAAAAAUGGAAUUGAACCACAUGAGAAUGGUUGAAUUAGGGUAUCAGAAGAUGGCAAAUGCUUUGUUUGGUUCAAAUAAGAAUUGAAGAGAAAGAUCAAAAAUAUUGAGGAGGCCAAAAAGAUGAGGGCCCGGGGUAAUUUGUCCGAUGAGGAUUAUCAGCAACCUGAGGAUGCACCUGAGGAUGAGGACAAUGAUGAUGACACUUUCAGUUAUACCGAUGAUGAAGAAUUGGUAAGUCAUAUUAAUUUUAUCAGAAUUGUAUUAUGAACUCAAUGAUUACAAAUAUGUCGUUAGUUAUAUUAGUUUUGUAUAACAUGGUGUCCGAUUGAUUCUAUGAACGCACGAAAAAAGAACGCUAUUGCAUCCACUCUUCAAACUGAUCAGCUGCCUCCUAUCAAGUCUACUAUGGUUCUUUCCCUUGCCCAAGGUUCAAGGCCUGCCCCAGUUGCAGUCGCUCCUACUCCUACUCCUACUCCUACCCAGGAGUUACCGUUUGAACAAGAUGGUUUUUCUACUACACCAAGUUCUUUACCACAGUAGAUGGUUAGAGCUUCUACCUCGAGGCGUGUCCGGGGUGCUAACUGUGGAAUUAACACAGAACGCUUAAUUGCUAGUGGUAGUGGCAAGAAACUUAAUGUAGAGAUUCCUUUGGAGGUAGGAACACCCAUAGGUGAAAAUGCCACAAGGUUCGCCACUUGGCUUGGUAUACAAAUUAGGAUGGCGGCACCAUUGAAGAAUGUGGAGAAGUGGGAUGAUAUUCCCUUUCAUGUUAAAGCGCCCAUCUUACAGGCUACAUGAGAUAAAUUUAACAUAGUGGGAUAUGAUGAGAAAGAGCAUGUGAGGCAUGGCAUCGACCGCAAGUGCAAAAAAUUGUAUAAAACCUGGCGUCACAUUAUGAAGGACCACUAUGAAGCAUUAGUGGAAGCUGGUAAGGAUCCAUAUGUCAAUCCAUAUAAAGGAGUUAGUAGUGAAGAUUGGGCAUGGAUGAUUGGUAACAUCUGGACUAAUAAAGAUAAAGAGGUAUUGGUACUAAAAAGGAAGAAAGCUCGAUCAAAGGUACCUUUCAACCAUACUAUGGGGUCACAAUCUUUCGCAUCUGCUAUGGCAGCUCAAACACAUAAGCGUGGGGGUUAACGUCCCCACAUUGCAGAUUUUUACAAUUCAACCCAUUAUAAUCAAAAGAAGAAGAAAUGGGUAGCUUCGAUAUGGGAGCAACUACAUCUACUACUUGAGGCAUGCCAGAAAGAGGAUGAGGCACGUUGCCAAGAGGUUGAUGCGCUUGGGUUACCAAUCACCAUGCCACAAGAGGAGAUGCCGAUAGAAGUUUUUGGUAAGAAGUUUUAUGUGAAGGAAUAUGGUGUUAGUUUGAAGUCAUCGUCAUCGAAGCGGUCUAGUGGUCAAUCAUAUGAAGAGGUGGGAGUUCUGAAGAAUGAAGUUGAGACACUCAAGGAUGUGUGCAAACAACAAAACGAUCAGGUUGAGACUUUGAAGGACUUGUGCAAACGCAAAAGGAGACAAUCCAAACGCAACAGGAGAAAAUAAAUGCAUGCAUAUGAUGAAAAGUUUGUGCGCUUCGAGGCUGUUAUGUCUGCUUAUAUGCAUGGAAAUCCUAUUGGGGCGGGCUCUAAUUGUCAGGCUUGAAUUGAGGCCGUGACAGCUUACUUGCAAGCUGAAAUGCAUAUAAAUUCUAGCAACCAUUGUGAGUAUAUCAAUGCCUUAAUUACCUUAUUCACGAGCUACUUGCUUAAAUCCAACUAGCAAAUGUAGAAGUCACCAAAGCGUGUGUACC